This 478-nucleotide ribosomal RNA is filed under the name uncultured bacterium. RNAcentral describes it as "partial 16S ribosomal RNA". It matches the Rfam family "Bacterial small subunit ribosomal RNA", at positions 28 to 507 of the family's 1533-position model. The record is from RNAcentral.
GAUGAACGCUGGCGGCGUGCUUAACACAUGCAAGUCGAACGGGAAUUAUUUUAUUGAAACUUCGGUCGAUUUAAUUUAAUUCUAGUGGCGGACGGGUGAGUAACGCGUGGGUAACCUGCCUUAUACAGGGGGAUAACAGUCAGAAAUGGCUGCUAAUACCGCAUAAGCGCACAGAGCUGCAUGGCUCAGUGUGAAAAACUCCGGUGGUAUAAGAUGGACCCGCGUUGGAUUAGCUGGUUGGUGGGGUAACGGCCCACCAAGGCGACGAUCCAUAGCCGGCCUGAGAGGGUGAACGGCCACAUUGGGACUGAGACACGGCCCAGACUCCUACGGGAGGCAGCAGUGGGGAAUAUUGCACAAUGGGGGAAACCCUGAUGCAGCGACGCCGCGUGAAGGAAGAAGUAUCUCGGUAUGUAAACCUCUAUCAGCAGGGAAGAUAGUGACGGUACCUGACUAAGAAGCCCCGGCUAACUACGUG